GGACCCGCACAAGCGGUGGAGCAUGUGGUUUAAUUCGAAGCAACGCGAAGAACCUUACCAAAUCUUGACAUCCUUUUGACCGGUACUUAAUCGUACCUUCUCUUCGGAGCAGAAGUGACAGGUGGUGCAUGGUUGUCGUCAGCUCGUGUCGUGAGAUGUUGGGUUAAGUCCCGCAACGAGCGCAACCCUUAUCUUUAGUAGCCAGCAUUUCGGAUGGGCACUCUAGAGAGACUGCCGGGGAUAACCCGGAGGAAGGUGGGGAUGACGUCAAAUCAUCAUGCCCCUUAUGAUUUGGGCUACACACGUGCUACAAUGGCGUAAACAAAGGGAAGCGACCCUGUGAAGGUGAGCAAAUCUCAAAAAUAACGUCUCAGUUCGGAUUGUAGUCUGCAACUCGACUACAUGAAGCUGGAAUCGCUAGUAAUCGCGAAUCAGAAUGUCGCGGUGAAUACGUUCCCGGGUCUU
RNAcentral lists this ribosomal RNA (465 nucleotides) under uncultured bacterium. RNAcentral describes it as "bacterial SSU rRNA". It matches the Rfam family "Bacterial small subunit ribosomal RNA", at positions 917 to 1382 of the family's 1533-position model. The record is from RNAcentral.